This 972-nucleotide long non-coding RNA is filed under the name Lotus japonicus. RNAcentral's name for it is "long non-coding RNA (LJAP_LNC000406)". Lineage: Eukaryota; Viridiplantae; Streptophyta; Magnoliopsida; Fabales; Fabaceae. The record is from RNAcentral.
AAGUUCUGUUGCUGCUUCUGCACUCCAUUUUGAUGUGGUCAGGCUUUUCAGCACAAUUUCAUGAUGGGAUUGAGACAAGAGCGUCAAAUGCUCGUCCAAAGAAAAAGGUUGAUCAAUUUGGAUCUAAAGGUAGUUCAGGUGAACCUGUGAAGAAUGAAGGUUUUGUUAUUAGCUGGAUUGAGAUGAUUUAUCUGGUUGGUCUUGUAGUUGUAGAGAUAUGGGGCCAAUUUUUACACCCUCUUCUUUUGGGUGAUAAGCUUGCAUUCGCGCCCCUUAUGUUGGUCUCUAUAUACUGUGCUUUUGGGAUCAUGUACUCUUGGAUUUGGCAGCUAAGAUCCAUUGUUAAAUCUCUUUAAAUUUUGGAUUGUUUGCAGUCAUAUUGAAUUCUCUUUGCAUGCACUUUUAGAAGCAGAAUUUCGAGAGCUCUCUUUUUACUUUUUUCAAGCAAGACAUUGCUUGAUAUGAAUAUUAUUAAACCCUAAUUGAAAAGUUAUUUGAUCAUGACUCUUUCUCAAGUUCCAUGGUAGACUGAUAGUAUAGCUAGGCGCAUAAUUAGGAUCUGCCCAGAUGGUUUUUUUUGUUGUCACAGAUAGGUUUGAAUUCUUAUCUUGUGUCAUAGUUCUGUUUGGAAAUCCCCCGGCAAAAGUAUAAAAGGGAAAUAAUAUUCACAAAUUUUAGGACUUAAAGCACUUAAAUAUCUCUUACAUUAGUUAUAUACAAAUGGAACAUCGAAUAAGUAAUCUUAACCAAACUUAUAAAGGAACAUGACAUGCACCAUGUCCUAAAAGAAUUGUUCUUUACAAACCUUCAUGGCAAUGAUCGAAAACUCCCUACCAUAUGAUUGAAAAACUGAAAAAUUGGCCCAAGACAAGCUCUGAUCGUGUUUCCACCAAAAAGCCUCCAACAUGAACAAGAGGCAACCCUAUUCUUCAGUCUUUCCCAGAAAUCCACAAAGCAGUUUCGGCUCCUGGU